GUUUGGCCUUCCACCGUACGGAAAUCUACGCAGAAUGAUGUCUUUUACGCUUUUGUCAAAGGCUGUCAAGGUCAAACGAUUAGCGUUGCUGCUUCUUUUUGAUUUCAACCGGUUCUAUCACAACUGAUGGCGGACUGUCGUUUGUGCGUGGCGUCGGGUUGGACUCGCAGCGGACAAGGUCCACGUGAAUAUAUGCAUGUAUAUGCAUUGAAUCAGUGAAAUCUGUCAGCCGUGCAUCCCUCGCUUUCUUUGUGUCCGUUUCGUACACGUUCCUCAAUAGAACGCGUAUCCGAAGAAUGAUGCGCAUAGGGACAUAUCAAUGGAGACGAACAAAGCGGUGUCCAUCUGAUCGUCAUUCCAUGGGAAUGCCCGCACAGCCUCCAGAACUUGCUUUCCUUGAUUUUUCAUUGUUCGUCCGCCUUUGCGUGAUGCAGAAGUUGUGCUGCUGUCACGUCCCAUCUCCGGAGUCGUUUUGUCUGUGGUUUUAAAAGGCAAUUGCCCCCUCCGUCCUGUUUGUCUCUCUCGCUUGGACACGGUGGCAGUAGAGACAGAUCACGUUCUCCAGAAAUGCGCUCGAUUCUUCUCUUUCUUCCUCUAACUUCCUCUCCCGCCUUUAGCCCUGUCUUUGUGGCAAGAGAUAGUCCUUCGGCGCAGCCGAGCGUUUCAGAAUCCCUAGUGCCUUUCUCCUGGGCUUCUUGCCAUUCUGUCUUGCCGAUUUCUGUUCUAAGCGAGCCUUCCCAACUUGUUUUUAGUAUCCGUACACUCCCAGGUUUCUGUUCCAAAUUCUCAGAGUUCUCGUCACCCUCUUUCGUUGACUUCUGCGCAAAGUGUCGGUGAAUGCUGGCAGAAGGUGACAAGUGACACUCUGGGCAGGCGAGAUCCCAGCGCGACUUCCCGUGGGGGCACAGAAGAGCUGCGACACUCCAUCGACAGUGGGGAGAUAUUGUUAGGCUCUGCGUCCCCUGAAAACGAUUUCCUUUCUCUAUUUGUGCAGUGUCUGCAGAGGAAAUCGAGGAAAAAGAGGGACAUCUGGCUCUCCGUUGCCCGCGACGGAACGGCGUCUCGGUUUCCUCUUCGUCUUCACCAGAUGAUGACGAUAACGUGGACGAAAUAUAUGUCCUUCGCUCGGGAGAAAAGUUCGUUUUCCUGCCCCCCCAGACUACCUCUCUGAUAUCAGCAGAAGAUGAAAAGGACGACAGCAUCGAGUUGGUUCCACGAGUAGCCCAUCCGCGUUUCUCUUUCCUCCCCUUUGCCUCUGCUGGAGCUUGAGACAUAGAGGAUGAUCACGUCGGAUCGGCCAUGUUUCGCAACAAAGCAUGCACCACAGACGCAGGCAGGCGCCACCGCCACAGCGAGUCUCUAUACACCGCAGACAGGAGUACUCGCUUCAUGAUUUUCGUCGCCUGUGCAACUCGCGCGGCGACUCGAGGCCCGAGAAUGGCGUUUAAAAGGUGCAUGUGCUUGUCCGCCAAUUGGUAAGCCAGAAGGAGGAAGCGAACAACGCAAGCCGCUUGGACGACGGGCGCAAUGGAGAGAAACGCGGCGUCUGGUGACGAUAGACAAAGCUGCAGCAGAUACACGGGUAGACUGGCGGAGGGCGGACAGGGAGGCAGAAGCAAAAGGGAAGCAGGCGGUCCAUCAGCGAACGUGCCAACUGACAGAGGGGAAGAAGGACGACAAGGACAGGACGAAACGGAAGCAGAAAGCGACGAACAUCGCAGCAGGACUCCUCCGGAAGCCAAGCAGCACCGUAGCGUCUCCGGUACAGCUUGCAAGCACCCAAGAGCCACUGAAGGAAAAGAAAGGAAUUCGCGUGGGUCAGCAGGUUGUCCUGUUCUAUGCAGCUCCACGCGUACAGUUCCAGCCAGCCUGUCGGCGGCCAGGGGCGGUAGGAGACGGAGGCGCCAGGGGGCUGCGCAGGUUUCUCCAAGCGAGGCAACGUCCCUGUUUGGCAUUUCUCUAAAAGGCGUCUCCCCUCGGAAGUAGGGAGACCUUUCCUCGUCUCGUGUGCUCCAUGCUGAGGCUUCUCUGCAGCGCAGCCGUCAGAGUCGCUCCUCUUUUCAGGAACAUUGGUCCCGUUGGAGGGGAGUGAAUGAGAGGCAGAGGAAAGAGAGGACCGAGGAGACCCCACCGACGACGAGGACGAAAAGCGAGAGAGGGAACAAGGAGAGGACGACGGAGUGCUGUCUUCCUCGGAGAAGAAACUCUCUGUCUGGUACUGGCAGCAUGCACAGCAACCGGCCGACAGAUCUACAGGGUGUGCAAGUAUUGAACGCCGAAAACAGCCGCGCAUAUCGUUUUUUUGAGUGUGAGAGACAGAGGCGAAACUGGGGGUGUCGCAUUCUUCGUAAAAAGCUUCGCUGACGGGAUGGUGCAUGUGAAAAGACAAACAGGAAUCGUUUCUUGCGAGUCUCUCUGAAAUGCGAUGGGCUUUUUUAUCAUCCGCGUUCGUUUCCUGACAUCGUGACAGCAUGGCCAAGUCAUCUUCUGGUGAUUCGUGUAAAUCCCGAAGUCGAUAACCAUCGCCUUGUCCUUGCGUUACUCGUGUGAACGCCUCAUAUCCCUCCUCUCCUUUUGGGAAGUAAAGGGACAUGUCUGCGGCGUUUUCUCGUUCUUUCCUUGCUUCGAUCUCCUCGGUUUCCGUAAACACGAUGGCUUGAACCACGACACCUGCGCAGUCCAGAUGGGGUACGAUCUCGAGUUGUUUGUAGGCAAUCGCAAUGCAAACACACGCUAGACGAAUGAGAGGAGACAAGGGAUACGGAAAUUGCAUGUCAUGCUCUGUUUUCAUUCUUUCACUCGCCUUCAACACACAUCCACUUGACCGCAAAGCCGUGGAACCACUGUCAGUUCUUGUUUCUCGAGAACUCGGCGUUUUCUGACUGCUGGCUGGCAGCCUGGGAGAGUCACCGUUCUCGGAGUUUUCCUGUUCAGCUGGAGAGACACCCCAGAGAAGCCGUAGAACCAUCCUUUCCUUGUCCCUUGAAGACGUUAACGACGAAGCGAAACAACUGGAAUGAGAACUGCUGCCAGACGUAUCAUCGACAGAG
RNAcentral lists this long non-coding RNA (3050 nucleotides) under Toxoplasma gondii VEG. Lineage: Eukaryota; Apicomplexa; Conoidasida; Eucoccidiorida; Sarcocystidae. The record is from RNAcentral.